GUGCUCACUUCAGCAGCACAUAUACCAAAACUGGAACAUUACAGGGAAGAUUAGCGUGGCCUCUGCGCAAGGAUGACAUGCAAAUUCAUGAAGGGUUCCAUGUUUUU
This is a small nuclear RNA of Tursiops truncatus (common bottlenose dolphin), 107 nucleotides long. NCBI's taxonomy places the organism in Eukaryota, Metazoa, Chordata, Mammalia, Artiodactyla, Delphinidae. The record is from Ensembl.